Molecule: ribosomal RNA, 382 nt
Filed under: Musonia sp. MN722
Lineage: Eukaryota; Metazoa; Arthropoda; Insecta; Mantodea; Thespidae
Description: partial 12S ribosomal RNA
Source: RNAcentral
AUACCCUAUUAUUUUUAAUGUAAAUUUUUUUAAAGCUAGAGUAGUAAUAGCUAUAAUCUUUAAACUCAAAGAAUUUGGCGGUAUUAUAAUCUUUUUAGAGGAAUUUGUCACGUAAUCGAUAGUCCUCGUUAAACCUUACUUAUAUUUAAUUCUUGUAUAUCGCUGUUUUUGGAGAUAUUUUUAGAUUUAUAUUUUCAAGAUAAAUUAUUAAUUAAUAAUUCAAGUCAAGGUGCAGUUAUUUAUAAGUUUGUUGAUGGAUUACAAUAAAUUUUAUUUAAAAUGAACGGAUUAUUAAUGGAAUAUUAAUAUGAAGGUGGAUUUAAAUGUAAUUUUAUUUAUUAUAUUAAAAUGAAUUUAUAGCUCUUUAAUAUGCACACAUCGC